Long non-coding RNA from Sphaeramia orbicularis (orbiculate cardinalfish), 373 nucleotides. RefSeq lists it as uncharacterized. NCBI's taxonomy places the organism in Eukaryota, Metazoa, Chordata, Actinopteri, Kurtiformes, Apogonidae. The transcript is spliced from 2 exons. The record is from RefSeq and is a predicted model, not a curated record.
CGACACUGAAUACAUGGCGGAGGAGUUGGCGGACUUAAAGGGCGGGUCUGGGCUAGUUUUAAGGGGAACCGCUGGCUCCGAAAAGAUCGUCGUAGACCUUUUUUUUCAUCACCCAGUGACCUCUGCUCCGAGCUAAAUGGACGUAAGGCCUCGCGCCACCGUGUCCUCCCCUUUAAGACUAGCUCCAGCUGUAAUCCAUAGGAAGCAGAUCCUAGAGGGCAACAUGGGCGUGUUCAGGAGUUCUGGACUAGAACCUCUGAGAACCCAGUAAUGGAUUUUUGUCCUCUGUGAGAGACAUGAGUUUCAUUGCUUUAUCUUAAAAAAACGCUGUCAACUGCCAAUGACAUUCCAUAAAAAUACAUAAAUAAAAAUG